CUCCGCCGGUCCCCGCAUUGGAAGACUACCUUCGCUUCUCUCAUAGCCCCAGGAAGGAGCCGCCAUUGGACACGGCGCCGGUCCAGGAAGGAGACCAUUCCGCCCUGCGCGAGGAUGCUGAACCUUAGCAGUCCUUUUGUGGAAUGUUUACACUGGAGACUGAACCUCAGCGUUCCAAGGCCGGGACCGGAGAUGGCGGGCAGCUCAGCGGUCAAAACCCGAGGCUUGAGAUUUGAAAAGGAAAAGGCAGUAGUAUUACCGCCGUGGAGGAUUAACCAAAACAAUGACAGAAAGCCUUGUCCUUCCUACCCACUUAUUUUUACACUUUCACGGUCUUCUAAAAACAGCCAUCUGGAGCACUCAGCAGCUACUUUCAGCAAGCCGACUCCAAAAUUAAGGUCUAGAGCUCUAAUCUGAUCCAAAAGCCCAGAUAUUAGUAGCCGGUCACUAGGGCUGACGGCAUACUGUGACACUGGGACAACCAGAAUCUGCAGCCCUCAGGGGGCGGAGAUAACCCAGAGGAGGCCUUUAAAUGUCACAGCCUGGGCAAGCCUCCGGAAGGCGGAGCAUGAGGGGGAAAUGUAUACUCUAUUGGUUGGGUAGAUCCAGGGACAUUUUAAACUGGAGGAAGAGAGGCUGAAAACCUCACACAGACCACUGUAUAAAUAAACCUUGAGUGUGC
This 682-nucleotide long non-coding RNA is filed under the name Mus pahari (shrew mouse). RNAcentral describes it as "lncRNA (MGP_PahariEiJ_G0004262.1)". Lineage: Eukaryota; Metazoa; Chordata; Mammalia; Rodentia; Muridae. The record is from RNAcentral.